This is a long non-coding RNA of Osmia bicornis bicornis, 1493 nucleotides long. RefSeq lists it as uncharacterized. The transcript is spliced from 4 exons. Lineage: Eukaryota; Metazoa; Arthropoda; Insecta; Hymenoptera; Megachilidae. The record is from RefSeq and is a predicted model, not a curated record.
CGCGAUAAGCUCCUUCUCGAACCUGGUUAUCGGUUUUUAAACAUCAAACAUUUAUGCAAAGAAGCUGAUCGAGCGAACGGCUGUAAAACCGUUCGGCCAUCCAGAGGCAUACAUCGGCAUCCCGGAAAUCGUGCCAAUACCGCGCCUUUAUGUAACCGGUAUCGCUGAACGCUGUGAUAUGAGUAAAGAAUCAAACCCUUUUUCAAAAAGGAAAUUCAUUAAAAAUAAAUGGAGAAAUUUUGAAAUGGUAAAAUAUUUCUCCAAGUUAGAUUCGUUAGAUUCGAAACCGGCUGAAACGGUGAAUCAACAAUGGCGGUUUAAUGGGACAGGUAAAAAGCUGGGAAGUUUUCGCGAUUGGUGCACGUGGUAAGCAAUUGGCCUCGACUUGGCAACAAACGACGACCUUCUGCUUACGGAUGAACACGGCCUGCAAACGCGGAGACGAGACGCGACGCGUUGCGUUUGUCGAGCGAAAUGCUCGUCCACGAAGAGGGGAGAGGCCGAGGGACACCGGCAAGCGGAAAUGCAGUUCGCUCGAGCAAAAGAAGAAAGUGUCGGAGGGAAAGAUUGCGAGAGUGUGCGCGAAUCGAUUCGCGACGCGACACCUGUCUCGCACCCUGACCAAGUAAGUGCCUUCUUUAUUCCAUUGUCAGCUGUGAAACGUUUAGGGGAUCUCUCGUUUAAAUCCUGUUUCGCUUGUCAUCCUGUUAGCGGGGACCAGUUAAUGGCGUUUUUACGCGGGACCAAGUUUAGCUGUUACCCACUUUUACAGAUACCCGGAAGAACGUUCGUAAACUGGUUGCAAAAGGAUUCACGAUCGUCGAGGUCUUUAGCCUGAGAAACGAAUAUUUUCGAUCCUGUCUGUCGAUAAAGCAGCUAGCCGUUUGAUCGUGCUUACGUCCUCGCAGGAAUCUCUCGAUCUCAUUGUUCGUGAGCAGCAGGGCAGAAAGCGGUGCUUCCGGUUUCAAGUUGGCUCGUACACGACGCACGGUUCCACGACAGGCAUCGUUGCAUCGUCCAGGCACGUUCCUUGUUACGUUAAACCUGAUGAAACUGGACACGUUUGGUUGAAAAAGAAGUCAAAAGAACCAGCUAAAAUUACGUUGCAAAACUGUUCACCCUCGGUACGUCACGGACGACCACGCUGGCAUUAUCCUGGUCGAUGGAAAACUGUCGCGGUACCGGAAGCUCGUAACGCCCCGGGGAACCGGAAGUUGUCGUGGGACCGCUGGGAUACUUGAAAAUAUCGCGUACAGCCUUCACGUUCCCUGGGAACCAUGGGCUUGACACGCGCUUAGAUAGAUUCUCCUGUGUGUGCUUUCUGCGUUGCGUGUAAUGCGUGUUCAGCUACUACUGACGAGCUUCACUCUAACGUCACAAUUUACUUGUACGAAUCGUGAGAAUACGGCCUUUUUAGUGAAACCGUUUGUCUUAAGAAUCUGUGCCUUGCUCGCAUAGUUGGGUUCAAAGAUUUUAUAAAUCAUUUUUAAUAA